RNAcentral lists this ribosomal RNA (508 nucleotides) under uncultured bacterium. RNAcentral's name for it is "partial 16S ribosomal RNA". It matches the Rfam family "Bacterial small subunit ribosomal RNA", at positions 28 to 507 of the family's 1533-position model. The record is from RNAcentral.
GACGAACGCUGGCGGCGUGCUUAACACAUGCAAGUCGAACGGGCCUUGUCCCCUUUUUUUUUGGGGGUGGGGUUAGUGGCGAACGGGUGAGUAACACGUGAGUAACCUGCCCCUCACUUCUGGAUAACCGCUUGAAAGGGUGGCUAAUACGGGGUGUUCUGGCCUGCUCGCAUGGGUGGGUUUGGAAAGAUUCGACCGGUUUUGGUGGUUUUGGUGGGGGAUGGGCUCGCGGACUAUCAGGUUGUUGGUGGGGUGGUGGCCUGCCAAGGCGUUGACGGGGAGCCGGCCUGAGAGGGUGGGCGGUCAUGCGGGGGCUGAGACACGGCCCAGACUCCGACGGGAGGCAGCAGUGGGGAAUAUUGCACAGUGGGCGCAAGCCUGAUGCAGCGCCGCCGCGUGAGGGAUGGAGGCCUUCGGGUUGUGAACCUCUUUCGCCAGUGAAGAAGGUCCUGCUCUUUGUGGUGGGGUUGACGGUAGCUGGGUUAAUGAAGCGCCGGCUAACUACGUG